Molecule: unclassified non-coding RNA, 320 nt
Filed under: plant metagenome
Description: partial contains 5.8S ribosomal RNA, internal transcribed spacer 2, and large subunit ribosomal RNA
Rfam family: 5.8S ribosomal RNA (bases 1-105)
Source: RNAcentral
GAAAUGCGAUAAGUAAUGUGAAUUGCAGAAUUCAGUGAAUCAUCGAAUCUUUGAACGCACAUUGCGCCCGCCAGUAUUCUGGCGGGCAUACCUGUUCGAGCGUCAUUACAACCCUCAGGCCCCCGGGCCUGGUGUUGGGGAUCGGCGGAAGCCCCCUGCGGGCACAACGCCGUCCCCCAAAUACAGUGGCGGUCCCGCCGCAGCUUCCAUUGCGUAGUAGCUAACACCUCGCAACUGGAGAGCGGCGCGGCCACGCCGUAAAACACCCAACUUCUGAAUGUUGACCUCGAAUCAGGUAGGAAUACCCGCUGAACUUAAGC